GUAUAGCAGCCGCUCACACCUUGUUGGAUUGAAACCUGUGGAUUUAUUCCAUGUGAGCGCCAGAGACUGAGAACGAGGAUGUGAGUACCUGGCUAGCCUUUCACCUCGUGUAUUCGAGAAGGAUGAGGAGCGAAGCAAUGGGGCAGAGAGUCAGCGAGCCAGCGAGUCAGCAGUGGACGCUCUUGAUAUACAGCAGAAGAAACAAGCCUGGGAGGAAAUAUGCUGAAAUGGAGAGUUGAGGAGGUGGGCCAGACAUCAGCUCACGACGUUGUUGGAACACGCGGUGUUGCCGCUUCUUCCAUGUGAAGAGCGUAUGGCUUGAGAUACCGGGUAUUUAGCAGUUCUUUUAUUUCCGCUUGUAAAUAAACAAAAUACUUCUUAUUCUAUUAGCUAAACUAAGACAAUAAAUGUGAACAGUCAACAGCACAAGACUCGUAUCCAGUUUGUGCGCGAACACGCGGUGUUGCCGCUUCUUCCAUGUGAAGAGCGUAUGGCUUGAGAUACCGGAUAUUUAGCAGUUCUUUUACUUCCACUUGUAAAUAAAUAAAAUGUACUUAUUAUUCUAUUAGCUAAACUAAGACAACAAAUGUGAACAGUCAACAGCACAAAACUCCUCUCCAGUUUGCGCGCGCAUUUCUCUGCUGUGGCGUGUUUUGUGGCUCCUCGCUGAACACUUCUAUCUCUUGACGCUGUGAGUUAGGCUACUUUGACGGUGACUUGAACACUACCACACUGGGCUGCUGUGUGUGUGAGGAAGGUGUGGUGGAGCUGUGAAGUGUGGCAGAGGUGGUGGAGGGAAGCAAGCUGUGCGUUACCCUACAACCAUCACCACCACCGCCGCCAUGUCAUCGUCUUCUUCCUUCUCUUUAUUCUUUUCCUCCUUUCCCUCCGCUGACGUGUGUGUGGUGUUCCUUGACCGCCGUCAUGAGAAAGAGAAUAUGCAAGAUCUGCUCCCAGGCCAGUGAGACUUCCAUAAAUAUGCUAAAGCUGCCAGCCGUGAUGCCGAGCAGAUCUCCAACAAGCAGUUCUUCAUGUUCACUCUGUUUUUUCAUCCAGUAAUGAUCAUCAUCCUACAUUCACCCUGUUGGAGAGGCAAGAGGAAGGAACGGAACAGAGGUGUGACACUCCCCGCCAGCCACGCUCCUUACGCUCCUUCCUGAGUACAGAUGUCAUUGUUAAGUCGCCAGAGCCCCGCAAUCCCCCGCUCGCUGCUGAAGGACGGCCUCUCGCAGCCCCGAGCCCCGUCACCCGCUGGAAGAUCAAAAGUCAGACACGAGUGAGCGGCGCUGAGCCUCCGCCACUCACAGCCAAAUUUAAAGAAGGAUAAAGCACCACCAGUGGAGAGCUGCCGUCGCUCAACAACCGCUCCACCUCCACCUCCGCUUCCACCACCACCACCAACCCUCCGCCAUCACCACCCAGCUCAUCAAUCCCUCCUACUUCACCACCACG
Scylla paramamosain (green mud crab) is the source of this 1452-nucleotide long non-coding RNA. RefSeq lists it as uncharacterized. The record is from RefSeq and is a predicted model, not a curated record. The transcript is spliced from 7 exons. NCBI's taxonomy places the organism in Eukaryota, Metazoa, Arthropoda, Malacostraca, Decapoda, Portunidae.